RNAcentral lists this long non-coding RNA (781 nucleotides) under Vigna radiata. RNAcentral's name for it is "long non-coding RNA (VRAD_LNC008504)". The record is from RNAcentral. Lineage: Eukaryota; Viridiplantae; Streptophyta; Magnoliopsida; Fabales; Fabaceae.
UGAGGAAUGUCAUACAUCCAAGGUCUAAUGUUAGAUAUGAUUAUAUGUUAGACUUUUUCUUUCUUGAAAUCAGUGCACACAUGCUUGAAUUUAUUGGCAAGAGGAUGAUUUUAGAGAAUGAGAGUCAUUUGGAAUGGUUUGGAAGACUGGGACCGGCACAUGGGUACUACAAUCCUCAAAGCAGACGUAAUAUGUGAGUGUCAAGAUGAAACACAAUAUAUCAAAAAUUUUGCCCCGGUUUUGUGUUUAGGAAAAUGAGUUGGGGUUUGGAUCCAUGAAAAUUAGGGUGACACAAAAUCAAGUGAGACUUGCAAAGUUACCCCAGUCAUGGGAUUAUGGAUUGAUGAAAAUUUUGUGUGAGACUCACAAAGCUGCCCUAGUUUUUUUAUCGUGGUAUGGGUUGAUGAAAAACUCGUGUGAGGUUCACAAAGUUUCCCUAGUUUUUCUUCGGCAAGGGGUUCAGUUUGGAAGAGGUAGUGGACAUGUACAGGAUAGGCUAAAAGGGUGGCCCCCAAUUGGUUUGAUUUUUCUUUUUGCAUGCUUCUGGCUAGUUGGCAAGGAGAUCCCCUCUUCUUGAGACAUUGAUUUUUUCUUUUUUUCUCUCUUUUUUUUUCUUCUCUUCCGUUUUUUUUACGACACAUUGAAAGUCAUUUCCCGUUAUCGCAAAAUUAAGCUUUAUGAAAAUUUUAGCAAACAUUAUCCAAUCUGCGUGGACUUUAUUAGGCUUGUAGCGUGGCUAAGAGCUAAAAGGUAUUAGAAGAAAGGUUAUAAAGGCCCAAAU